GACGAACCGUGCGAGCGUUGUUCGGAAUCACUGGGCUUAAAGGGCGCGUAGGCGGUUGAUCAAGUCUGGGGUGAAAUCUUUCGGCUUAACCGGAAAAGUGCCUUGGAUACUGGUCAGCUGGAGGGAGGUAGGGGCAGUUGGAACUUCCAGUGGAGCGGUGAAAUGCGUUGAUAUUGGAAGGAACGCCGGUGGCGAAAGCGAGCUGCUGGACCUCUUCUGACGCUGAUGCGCGAAAGCUAGGGGAGCAAACGGG
This 253-nucleotide ribosomal RNA is filed under the name uncultured bacterium. RNAcentral describes it as "partial 16S ribosomal RNA". It matches the Rfam family "Bacterial small subunit ribosomal RNA", at positions 524 to 776 of the family's 1533-position model. The record is from RNAcentral.